RNAcentral lists this ribosomal RNA (515 nucleotides) under uncultured bacterium. RNAcentral's name for it is "partial 16S ribosomal RNA". It matches the Rfam family "Bacterial small subunit ribosomal RNA", at positions 28 to 523 of the family's 1533-position model. The record is from RNAcentral.
GAUGAACGCUGGCGGCGUGCCUAAUACAUGCAAGUCGAGCGAAUGGAUUAAGAGCUUGCUCUUAUGAAGUUAGCGGCGGACGGGUGAGUAACACGUGGGUAACCUGCCCAUAAGACUGGGAUAACUCCGGGAAACCGGGGCUAAUACCGGAUAACAUUUUGAACCGCAUGGUUCGAAAUUGAAAGGCGGCUUCGGCUGUCACUUAUGGAUGGACCCGCGUCGCAUUAGCUAGUUGGUGAGGUAACGGCUCACCAAGGCAACGAUGCGUAGCCGACCUGAGAGGGUGAUCGGCCACACUGGGACUGAGACACGGCCCAGACUCCUACGGGAGGCAGCAGUAGGGAAUCUUCCGCCAUGGACGAAAGUCUGACGGAGCAACGCCGCGUGAGUGAUGAAGGCUUUCGUGUCGUAAAACUCUGUUGUUAGGGAAGAGCAAGUGCUAGUUGAAUAAGCUGGCACCUUGACGGUACCUAACCAGAAAGCCACGGCUAACUACGUGCCAGCCGCCGCAGUAA